This 513-nucleotide ribosomal RNA is filed under the name uncultured bacterium. Its description in RNAcentral is "partial 16S ribosomal RNA". It matches the Rfam family "Bacterial small subunit ribosomal RNA", at positions 28 to 507 of the family's 1533-position model. The record is from RNAcentral.
GACGAACGCUGGCGGCGUGCUUAACACAUGCAAGUCGAACGAAAAGAGGGAAAGAGCUUGCUCUUUCCGGAAUUGAGUGGCAAACGGGUGAGUAACACGUAAACAACCUGCCUUCAGGAUGGGGACAACAGACGGAAACGACUGCUAAUACCGAAUAAGUUCCAAGGGCCGCAUGGCCCAUGGAAGAAAAGGUGGCCUCUACCUGUAAGCUAUCGCCUGAAGAGGGGUUUGCGUCUGAUUAGCUGGUUGGAGGGGUAACGGCCCACCAAGGCGACGAUCAGUAGCCGGGCUGAGAGGAUGAACGGCCACACUGGAAUUGAGACACGGUCCAGACUCCUACGGGAGGCAGCAGUGGGGAAUCUUCCGCAAUGGGCGAAAGCCUGACGGAGCAACGCCGCGUGAGUGAUGACGGCCUUCGGGUUGUAAAACUCUGUGAUCCGGGACGAAAAGGCAGAGUGCGAAGAACAAACUGCAUUGACGGUACCGGAAAAGCAAGCCACGGCUAACUACGUG